Molecule: long non-coding RNA, 364 nt
Filed under: Panax ginseng (ginseng)
Lineage: Eukaryota; Viridiplantae; Streptophyta; Magnoliopsida; Apiales; Araliaceae
Description: long non-coding RNA (PGIN_LNC010766)
Source: RNAcentral
AAAAAAAGAAAAAACUGAAAUUUGGGGAUACCCAAUUGGAGUUUCUGGUUAAAAACUGCUGUUACAGAUCAAUACCUAGGUUGUUUCCACAUUGUGAAAAAGAUUAAAUAUAAAUGCAAGUUUCAAAAAAAGCAUUAAAAGGGUGGAUUAUUAGCAAACAGAAUGGCAGUUUCGAGCAAUAUAAGACAUUGUUACAGCUCAUAAUUUUGGAUCUUGGCAGAUUGCAUUAAAAAUGAAGAAAACAGGCAAGAAUAAAACAUCAAACAUUCAAUUUUGGACUUUGUGUUGAAUGGAAAUCAGUGGGAAGUUAUAAAACCAAAAAAUGGAGAGGAAAGAGGCUUGUAGAAGCCUCGUGGAAUUUUCC